Long non-coding RNA from Osmerus eperlanus (European smelt), 713 nucleotides. RefSeq lists it as uncharacterized. The record is from RefSeq and is a predicted model, not a curated record. The transcript has 3 exons. Lineage: Eukaryota; Metazoa; Chordata; Actinopteri; Osmeriformes; Osmeridae.
GUAGACUGGACCCGUACCUGGAUGAGCCGGCCGUCGGCGGUCCCUAGGCUGGCCACGGUGUCGUCCUGGACAGGUGCCACAGCAAUGGAGUCUCUCUCCGACGUCAACACAGGGCCUUCCUCGACAUUCCAAUCAGGAAGUGUUGUACAACAGAUAACAAGGGAAAGGAUGGGAGGGGGGGCCAGAGUGAAAAUACAGAUGAAGGAAGGAUUAAUACAGAUCAAUGUGUGGCUGCCUGUCCCUGGAUGACCUCAUCCACAGAACGUUCCCCACUAAGGGAACAUCAGACUUCUGGCCUUCAUUUGGUGGUUUCCUCUGACGGAUAAUGUCUCCCCCUUUUCUGCUGCAGAAGAACUGCCUUAUAAGAAUUGACCCAUUACUACUGAAGAAAUUCCACAUAAAGGCAUGUUCUUGACCAGGGUUUAGGCUUAAUCAGGCUUUUAAUAUCUGUCCUAAGCAAUUACUAGACAACAUACUGUUUUAUUACUGAUAAAUAUUCCAGAAAUAAGAGUUUUAAGAACUAUUGAUUCUUACGUAAUUUUAUUAAAUUCCCUUUAUUUGAUAUCUUUGAAAUGGAGCAGAGUUUUGUUCAUGCAUGGGCAGUGCGUGUGAAUACGUUUAAUAAAACGUUUGGUUCAACUGUAUGUUGAUACGAAAUGAUACAAAUUAUAAAUAAUUUUACUCUGUGGAUACUCUGUUGAUUUGAAUAAGGA